Eptesicus fuscus (big brown bat) is the source of this 435-nucleotide long non-coding RNA. RefSeq lists it as uncharacterized. The record is from RefSeq and is a predicted model, not a curated record. The transcript is spliced from 4 exons. NCBI's taxonomy places the organism in Eukaryota, Metazoa, Chordata, Mammalia, Chiroptera, Vespertilionidae.
CAAACUCCCAAGACUGUUUCUGGGUCAGACCAGCCAGAGCAGGAGGAGAGCGGUUGGUCUCUUUCUGAAGGUGUGAGCUCUGAUUCCUUGAGAAGAUGGAAAGAAAAGGUUCUGAAAUCCUCCUCUUGCUGGGAGCGGGUGGUGUGAAAUUCCUAGCAUAUUCAACAGGGCCCGGUGCGCUAGUGCUAGCCGUGGGCGCAGUGGCAAUAGGACUCGUAGGAAUUGGAGUCUUCUGCUGGAAUAAGGCCAGCGAAAACAAGAUCCAGAAAAUGUAUUGACACGAAUCCUUUCUAAUCCCCUGGACAAAAGGAGAAGGCUCCACCCUACUGGCGAAUGUGUGAAGCAACAUGCUAUACACAGUUUAUACUUUGAGUAUGAACAAAGUCAACUUUUGAGCAAAAUGAAAAUUAAUUAAAUACACAUGUAUUGAGUGCA